GCAGGGGGCAGGCCUAACACAUGCAAGUCGAGCGGAAACGAGUUAUCUGAACCUUCGGGGAACGAUAACGGCGUCGAGCGGCGGACGGGUGAGUAAUGCCUAGGAAAUUGCCCUGAUGUGGGGGAUAACCAUUGGAAACGAUGGCUAAUACCGCAUGAUGCCUACGGGCCAAAGAGGGGGACCUUCGGGCCUCUCGCGUCAGGAUAUGCCUAGGUGUGAUUAACUAGUUGGUGAUGUAAAGGCUCACCAAGGCCACGAUCCCUACCUGGUCUGAAAGGAUGAUCAGCCACACUGGAACUGACACACUGUCCCGACUUCUACGGGAGGCAGCAGUGGGGAAUAUUGCACAAUGGGCGCAAGCCUGAUGCAGCCAUG
RNAcentral lists this ribosomal RNA (375 nucleotides) under Vibrio alginolyticus. RNAcentral's name for it is "bacterial SSU rRNA". It matches the Rfam family "Bacterial small subunit ribosomal RNA", at positions 35 to 396 of the family's 1533-position model. The record is from RNAcentral. Lineage: Bacteria; Pseudomonadati; Pseudomonadota; Gammaproteobacteria; Vibrionales; Vibrionaceae.